CGGAGGAUCCAAGCGUUAUCCGGAAUCAUUGGGUUUAAAGGGUCCGUAGGCGGUUUAGUAAGUCAGUGGUGAAAGCCCAUCGCUCAACGGUGGAACGGCCAUUGAUACUGCUAGACUUGAAUCAUUAGGAAGUAACUAGAAUAUGUAGUGUAGCGGUGAAAUGCUUAGAGAUUACAUGGAAUACCAAUUGCGAAGGCAGGUUACUACUAAUGGAUUGACGCUGAUGGACGAAAGCGUGGGUAGCGAACAGGAUUAGAUACCCUGGUAGUCCACGCCGUAAACGAUGGAUACUAGCUGUUGGGAGCAAUUUCAGUGGCUAAGCGAAAGUGAUAAGUAUCCCACCUGGGGAGUACGGGCGCAAGCCUG
RNAcentral lists this ribosomal RNA (366 nucleotides) under uncultured organism. Its description in RNAcentral is "bacterial SSU rRNA". It matches the Rfam family "Bacterial small subunit ribosomal RNA", at positions 526 to 896 of the family's 1533-position model. The record is from RNAcentral.